CCUACGGGGGGCUGCAGUGGGGAAUAUUGGACAAUGGGGGCAACCCUGAUCCAGCCAUGCCGCGUGUGUGAAGAAGGCCCUCGGGUUGUAAAGCACUUUCAGUGAGGAAGAACGCCUGGUGGUUAAUACCCAUCAGGAAAGACAUCACUCACAGAAGAAGCACCGGCUAACUCCGUGCCAGCAGCCGCGGUAAUACGGAGGGUGCGAGCGUUAAUCGGAAUUACUGGGCGUAAAGCGCGCGUAGGUGGCUUGAUAAGCCGGUUGUGAAAGCCCCGGGCUCAACCUGGGAACGGCAUCCGGAACUGUCAAGCUAGAGUGCAGGAGAGGAAGGUAGAAUUCCCGGUGUAGCGGUGACAUGCGUAGAGAUCGGGAGGAAUACCAGUGGCGAAGGCGGCCUUCUGGACUGACACUGACACUGAGGUGCGAAAGCGUGGGUAGCAAACAGGAUUAGAUACCCGGGUAGUC
This 465-nucleotide ribosomal RNA is filed under the name Vreelandella stevensii. RNAcentral describes it as "partial 16S ribosomal RNA". It matches the Rfam family "Bacterial small subunit ribosomal RNA", at positions 338 to 795 of the family's 1533-position model. The record is from RNAcentral. Lineage: Bacteria; Pseudomonadati; Pseudomonadota; Gammaproteobacteria; Oceanospirillales; Halomonadaceae.